RNAcentral lists this ribosomal RNA (120 nucleotides) under Penicillium gladioli. RNAcentral describes it as "partial 28S ribosomal RNA". It matches the Rfam family "Eukaryotic large subunit ribosomal RNA", at positions 1 to 120 of the family's 3401-position model. Lineage: Eukaryota; Fungi; Ascomycota; Eurotiomycetes; Eurotiales; Aspergillaceae. The record is from RNAcentral.
UUGACCUCGGAUCAGGUAGGGAUACCCGCUGAACUUAAGCAUAUCAAUAAGCGGAGGAAAAGAAACCAACAGGGGAUGCCCAGUAACGGCGAGUGAAGCGGCAAGAGCUCAAAUUUGAAA